RNAcentral lists this ribosomal RNA (442 nucleotides) under uncultured prokaryote. Its description in RNAcentral is "bacterial SSU rRNA". It matches the Rfam family "Bacterial small subunit ribosomal RNA", at positions 338 to 774 of the family's 1533-position model. The record is from RNAcentral.
CCAACGGGGGGCUGCAGCAACGAAUCUUCCCCAAUGGGCGAAAGCCUGAGGGAGCGACGCAGCGUGAAGGAUGAAGUACUUCGGUAUGUAAACUUCUGUUAGGGUUAUGAAAGCGAUAGGACCUAAUACGUCCUAAAGUUGAUCUGACCCAGAGAAAGGGACGGCUAACUCUGUGCCAGCAGCCGCGGUAAUACAGAGGUCCCAAGCGUUACUGAGAAUCACUGGGUUUAAAGGGUGCGUAGGUGGUCCGUUAAGUUCGUUGUGAAAUCCCUGGGCUCAACCCAGGAACUGCUUCGAAUACUGGCGGACUUGAGGCCGGUAUAGGUCACUGGAACAGAUGGUGGAGCGGUGAAAUGCGUAGAUAUCAGCUGGAACGCCGGUGGUGAAGACGGGUGACUGGGCCGGUUCUGACACUGAGGCACGAAAGCAUGGGGAGCGAACG